This 492-nucleotide ribosomal RNA is filed under the name uncultured bacterium. RNAcentral describes it as "partial 16S ribosomal RNA". It matches the Rfam family "Bacterial small subunit ribosomal RNA", at positions 29 to 507 of the family's 1533-position model. The record is from RNAcentral.
AGUGAACGCUGGCGGUAGGCCUAACACAUGCAAGUCGAACGGCAGCACAGUAAGAGCUUGCUCUUACGGGUGGCGAGUGGCGGACGGGUGAGGAAUACAUCGGAAUCUACUUUUUCGUGGGGGAUAACGUAGGGAAACUUACGCUAAUACCGCAUACGACCUACGGGUGAAAGCAGGGGAUCUUCGGACCUUGCGCGAUUGAAUGAGCCGAUGUCGGAUUAGCUAGUUGGCGGGGUAAAGGCCCACCAAGGCGACGAUCCGUAGCUGGUCUGAGAGGAUGAUCAGCCACACUGGAACUGAGACACGGUCCAUACUCCUACGGGAGGCAGCAGUGGGGAAUAGUGGACAAUGGGCGCAAGCCUGAUCCAGCCAUACCGCGUGGGUGAAGAAGGCCUUCGGGUUGUAAAGCCCUUUUGUUGGGAAAGAAAAGCAGCAGGUUAAUACCCCGCUGUUCUGACGGUACCCAAAGAAUAAGCACCGGCUAACUUCGUG